CGUAUGACCAACCUACCUAUCAGGAGGGAACUACCGGCAAAGUCGGACUAAUACCGCAUAAAAACAGGGGCACCGCAUGGUGAUAUUUUGUUAAAGAAAUUCGCUGAUAGAUGGGCAUGCGUUCCAUUAGGUAGUUGGUGAGGUAACGGCUCACCAAGCCGACGAUGGAUAGGGGAACUGAGAGGUUGGUCCCCCACACUGGUACUGAGACACGGACCAGACUCCUACGGGAGGCAGCAGUGAGGAAUAUUGGUCAAUGGGCGGGAGCCUGAACCAGCCAAGUCGCGUGAAAAGGAAGAAGGAUCUAUGGUUCGUAAACUUCUUUUGCAGGGGAAUAAAGUGCAGGACGUGUCCUGUUUUGUAUGUACCCUGAGAAUAAGGAUCGGCUAACUCCGUGCCAGCAGCUGC
RNAcentral lists this ribosomal RNA (408 nucleotides) under uncultured bacterium. Its description in RNAcentral is "bacterial SSU rRNA". It matches the Rfam family "Bacterial small subunit ribosomal RNA", at positions 116 to 518 of the family's 1533-position model. The record is from RNAcentral.